Molecule: non-coding RNA, 31 nt
Filed under: Mus musculus (house mouse)
Lineage: Eukaryota; Metazoa; Chordata; Mammalia; Rodentia; Muridae
Source: RNAcentral
UCACAGGUCAAGUUGUUGCUUCAUACCAAGC